This 253-nucleotide ribosomal RNA is filed under the name uncultured bacterium. Its description in RNAcentral is "partial 16S ribosomal RNA". It matches the Rfam family "Bacterial small subunit ribosomal RNA", at positions 524 to 776 of the family's 1533-position model. The record is from RNAcentral.
UACGUAGGUGGCAAGCGUUGUCCGGAUUUACUGGGCGUAAAGAGCGCGCAGGCGGUCGUUCAAGUCGCGUGUGAAAGCCCCCGGCUCAACUGGGGAGGGUCACGCGAUACUGAUCGACUCGAAGGCAGGAGAGGGAAGUGGAAUUCCCGGUGUAGUGGUGAAAUGCGUAGAUAUCGGGAAGAACACCGGUGGCGAAGGCGGCUAUCUGGCCCGUAAUUGACGCUGAGGCGCGAAAGCGUGGGGAGCAAACAGG